Acipenser ruthenus (sterlet) is the source of this 963-nucleotide long non-coding RNA. RefSeq lists it as uncharacterized. The record is from RefSeq and is a predicted model, not a curated record. Lineage: Eukaryota; Metazoa; Chordata; Actinopteri; Acipenseriformes; Acipenseridae. The transcript has 3 exons.
AGAGCUGCCAGGGUGGCACAGUACUCCUCUCUCGCUGUUCUGUGCACCUCCACAACAGGUGGAAUAUGUAAAUAUAUUCAGGUCACCCCAGUCUUCAGUGUGAGUAGUAUACUGCGCUUCGAAAAUGGAGAUCAAAGAUCUACCACUUGAAAAAUGGACUGAAAACCAUGUGAGCUCCUGGCUGGAAUUAAUAGGAUUGAAAGAUCAAUACAUACAGAAACUUCAUGAGGAUGAAGUUACAGGGCCAGUCCUCAAGGGGACAACAGAAGACUUUCUAAAAGCCAAGACUGUGAUGAAACCUGGCCAAAUCGAUCUUCUUUUGGUCUUGACAGGUUCAUUCACAGAAGCAAGCUUGAAAAAUUCCUCACUGGCACUCUAAAUGAAAGGAGAUUGAAGUGGCUCAGUGGUGAAGUUUGGGCAACACCAGAAAUUACCCAGCUGUUGAAGCGUGUUCAAGAAUGGACAGAAAAUGGUGCAGUUUUUGUACAGGGCACCUGCAAAGGCAGCAAGAUCAAAGUUAUUCCAUUGUAUUCUGCCUCCAUGCCUAAUGCCAAUGAAAAUGUAAUAUUUUACUUGGGUUUUUCAUUUGAUGGUCCAGUUGCUUUUGAUAUUCAAGUUCUUCCCUAAAAUAAAAUUACUUGCUUUCAUCUUUGUGCAAAGUAGCUAUUUGCUAAAGGCUUUUAAAAGGAAAGACUGCAACUGACCAAAUAAAGUAUGAACAACUUAUGACGAUCUUCAAACGUGCUAAUUUGCUUAGGUUUGAAGUUUAAGGAAUGCUUUUUUUUUUUUUUUUACCAUUUCUUAACUUUUAUUAGAUACUAAAUAGCACUGAAUUUCAAUUACAUUUAGGAUGUAUAGUCCUUAUUUUUGAUAAAGCAUGUAUUUUCAUACAGCAGCUUUUUGAAUAAUGUUAUUGCAUUUGUAAGAAAUAUUUUAUCAAUAUCUAUAAAAAUUACAGCAAAU